Molecule: ribosomal RNA, 497 nt
Filed under: uncultured bacterium
Lineage: Bacteria
Description: partial 16S ribosomal RNA
Rfam family: Bacterial small subunit ribosomal RNA
Source: RNAcentral
GAUGAACGCUGGCGGCGUGCCUAAUACAUGCAAGUCGAGCGAACGGACGAGAAGCUUGCUUCUCUGAUGUUAGCGGCGGACGGGUGAGUAACACGUGGAUAACCUACCUAUAAGACUGGGAUAACUUCGGGAAACCGGAGCUAAUACCGGAUAAUAUUUUGAACCGCAUGGUUCAAAAGUGAAAGACGGUCUUGCUGUCACUUAUAGAUGGAUCCGCGCUGCAUUAGCUAGUUGGUAAGGUAACGGCUUACCAAGGCAACGAUGCAUAGCCGACCUGAGAGGGUGAUCGGCCACACUGGAACGGAGACACGGUCAAGACUCCUACGGGAGGGAGCAGUAGGGAAUCUUCCGCAAUGGGCGAAAGCCUGACGGAGCAACGCCGCGUGAGUGAUGAAGGUCUUCGGAUCGUAAAACUCUGUUAUUAGGGAAGAACAUAUGUGUAAGUAACUGUGCACAUCUUGACGGUACCUAAUCAGAAAGCCACGGCUAACUACGUG